Molecule: ribosomal RNA, 420 nt
Filed under: Campylobacter concisus
Lineage: Bacteria; Pseudomonadati; Campylobacterota; Epsilonproteobacteria; Campylobacterales; Campylobacteraceae
Description: bacterial SSU rRNA
Rfam family: Bacterial small subunit ribosomal RNA
Source: RNAcentral
AGUGAACGCUGGCGGCGUGCCUAAUACAUGCAAGUCGAACGGACAAGUAAGAGCUUGCUCUUAUGAGUUAGUGGCGCACGGGUGAGUAAUGUAUAGCUAAUCUGCCCUACACUAGAGGACAACAGUUGGAAACGGCUGCUAAUACUCUAUACUCCUGUCUUACAUAAGUUAGAUAGGGAAAGUUUUUCGGUGUAGGAUGAGGCUAUAUUGUAUCAGCUAGUUGGUGAGGUAAUGGCUCACCAAGGCUAUGACGCAUAACUGGUCUGAGAGGAUGAUCAGUCACACUGGAACUGAGACACGGUCCAGACUCCUACGGGAGGCAGCAGUAGGGAAUAUUGCUCAAUGGGGGAAACCCUGAAGCAGCAACGCCGCGUGGAGGAUGACACUUUUCGGAGCGUAAACUCCUUUUGUUAGGGAAGA